This 467-nucleotide ribosomal RNA is filed under the name uncultured bacterium. RNAcentral's name for it is "partial 16S ribosomal RNA". It matches the Rfam family "Bacterial small subunit ribosomal RNA", at positions 28 to 506 of the family's 1533-position model. The record is from RNAcentral.
GACGAACGCUGGCGGCGUGCUUAACACAUGCAAGUCGAACGGAAAGGCCCUGCUUUUGUGGGGUGCUCGAGUGGCGAACGGGUGAGUAACACGUGAGUAACCUGCCCUUGACUUUGGGAUAACUUCAGGAAACUGGGGCUAAUACCGGAUAGGAGCUCCUGCUGCAUGGUGGGGGUUGGAAAGUUUCGGCGGUUGGGGAUGGACUCGCGGCUUAUCAGCUUGUUGGUGGGGUAGUGGCUUACCAAGGCUUUGACGGGUAGCCGGCCUGAGAGGGUGACCGGCCACAUUGGGACUGAGAUACGGCCCAGACUCCUAUGGGAGGCAGCAGUGGGGAAUAUUGCACAAUGGGCGGAAGCCUGAUGCAGCAACGCCGCGUGCGGGAUGACGGCCUUCGGGUGGUAAACCGCUUUCGCCUGUGACGAAGCGUGAGUGACGGUAAUGGGUAAAGAAGCACCGGCUAACUACGU